Molecule: transfer RNA, 74 nt
Filed under: Candidatus Nitrosarchaeum limnium SFB1
Lineage: Archaea; Thermoproteati; Nitrososphaerota; Nitrososphaeria; Nitrosopumilales; Nitrosopumilaceae
Description: tRNA-Gly
Source: RNAcentral
UCAAGGAUGCAACACCUGCUUUAUUUCCAAUAGUUGCCAUCAUCCCUUUGCUCUGAUAUGAAAAUUCUUUUAAA